UACGGGGGGGGCAAGCGUUGUUCGGAAUUACUGGGCGUAAAGGGCUCGUAGGCGGCCAACUAAGUCAGACGUGAAAUCCCUCGGCUUAACCGGGGAACUGCGUCUGAUACUGGAUGGCUUGAGUUUGGGAGAGGGAUGCGGAAUUCCAGGUGUAGCGGUGAAAUGCGUAGAUAUCUGGAGGAACACCAAUGGCGAAGGCAGCUUGCUGGGCCACUCCUGACACUGAGGUACGAAAGCGUGGGGAGCGAACAGG
Molecule: ribosomal RNA, 253 nt
Filed under: uncultured bacterium
Lineage: Bacteria
Description: partial 16S ribosomal RNA
Rfam family: Bacterial small subunit ribosomal RNA
Source: RNAcentral